This 253-nucleotide ribosomal RNA is filed under the name uncultured bacterium. RNAcentral describes it as "partial 16S ribosomal RNA". It matches the Rfam family "Bacterial small subunit ribosomal RNA", at positions 524 to 776 of the family's 1533-position model. The record is from RNAcentral.
AACGUAGGUGACGAGCGUUAUCCGGAUUUACUGGGCGUAAAGAGCUUGUAGGUGGCUCUGUAAGUUGGGUGUGAAAGCCCCGGGCUUAACUCGGGGAGGUCACUCAAUACUGCGGGGCUAGAGGGUGUCAGAGGGAAGUGGAAUUCCUGGUGUAGCAGUGAAAUGCGUAGAUAUCAGGAGGAACACCCGUGGCGAAGGCGGCUUCCUGGGGCAUUCCUGACACUGAGAAGCGAAAGCUAGGGGAGCGAACGGG